Molecule: ribosomal RNA, 253 nt
Filed under: uncultured bacterium
Lineage: Bacteria
Description: partial 16S ribosomal RNA
Rfam family: Bacterial small subunit ribosomal RNA
Source: RNAcentral
UACGAAGGGGGCUAACGUUGUUCGGAGUUACUGGGCGUAAAGGGCGCGUAGGCGGCGCAUCAAGUCAGGCGUGAAAGCCCUGGGCUCAACCCGGGAAUUGCGCUUGAGACUGGUGUGCUUGAGUACGGGAGAGGAUAGUGGAAUUCCCAGUGUAGAGGUGAAAUUCGUAGAUAUUGGGAAGAACACCAGUGGCGAAGGCGGCUAUCUGGACCGUAACUGACGCUGAGGCGCGAAAGCGUGGGGAGCAAACAGG